This is a long non-coding RNA of Mercenaria mercenaria, 337 nucleotides long. RefSeq lists it as uncharacterized. The record is from RefSeq and is a predicted model, not a curated record. The transcript has 2 exons. Lineage: Eukaryota; Metazoa; Mollusca; Bivalvia; Venerida; Veneridae.
AUCGGACGCAACUGGUUUCAGUGUAGUCUGGCAGAAAUCAGGGAUGAAUUUUCAGAUGUAUUAGAAUGCGGGUCAACAUUGCGGGACAUGUUUAUGACUUUUGCAAUAUUCCUGUCGGGCAGUGGCUACCUUACACCGACGCUAACAGCGAUUGACAUGGCUGUGUUCAAGAAUGCUUAACAAAGGCGACUGUCACACAGGAGACAAGACUAGAAAUAUUUCAGUUAUGGUACAGACAUUCACGCAGUUAACAUACUGUGCGAUUUAUGUACUUCAAGUGCUUUGCUUUGAAAUUACACAAAAAUGAACUGUUAUACGUAUUAAAUAAUUAUUUUAA